UCUUGUAUUUGGAUCCAACGUUCUUAUUGGUUAUUUAUUUGCUUCCGUUGGGAAUAUAUGUCUCGUGAUAAAGUAAUGCUUUACUUUGUGGUGAACUCCAUAAUUAGCUCAUGAAAAUUAGGGUUAGUUUGAUGUCUUCUAUAGUGUAUAUGUUGAAAGAUUGUGUCUUCCUCUUGAAAGAAAGAAGAAUGGAAGUAUCUGGAUGAGAACAAGUCACUGAUUCUGAAGAUUGUCGAAAGCCAGAACUCGGGUAAAGUUAGUGAAUGUGCAGAG
Molecule: long non-coding RNA, 273 nt
Organism: Olea europaea var. sylvestris
Lineage: Eukaryota; Viridiplantae; Streptophyta; Magnoliopsida; Lamiales; Oleaceae
Exons: 2
Source: RefSeq, a predicted model, not a curated record